GACGAACGCUGGCGGCGCGCCUAACACAUGCAAGUCGAACGGUGAAGAAGAGCUUGCUCUUCGGAUCAGUGGCGGACGGGGGAGUAACACGUGAGCAACCUGCCUUUCAGAGGGGGACAACAGUUGGAAACGACUGCUAAUACCGCAUAACGUGCUCGGGGGGCAUCCCUUGGGUACCAAAGAUUUAUCGCUGAAAGAUGGGCUCGCGUCUGAUUAGAUAGUUGGUGAGGUAACGGCCCACCAAGUCGACGAUCAGUAGCCGGACUGAGAGGUUGAUCGGCCACAUUGGGACUGAGACACGGCCCAG
Molecule: ribosomal RNA, 307 nt
Filed under: uncultured bacterium
Lineage: Bacteria
Description: bacterial SSU rRNA
Rfam family: Bacterial small subunit ribosomal RNA
Source: RNAcentral